Molecule: long non-coding RNA, 361 nt
Filed under: Heterocephalus glaber (naked mole-rat)
Lineage: Eukaryota; Metazoa; Chordata; Mammalia; Rodentia; Bathyergidae
Description: lncRNA (ENSHGLG00000041862.1)
Source: RNAcentral
AGGGCCCGGAUGUUACCCCGGAAGAGCUGGAGGGUGACGCGGUCUGGCCUCCCUGUUGGGAAGAGCCAGUGCGGUGUGUGGAAGAGCCUGAGACAGAAGCCUGAGAAGACUCUUACCAGAAUGGAGGAGAGGAAGGAAGGCGUUCUAGACCAGGGUGCGGACAAGAGGCCUUUGGGUUGCAAUCUGAAGGUGGACCAGGCAGUGGAUUGUGAAGGCGAUUGGGCUAGAAUUGUUCCGAACAAAAGAAGCAUGAAUUGCUGGAAACUAUAUAUUAAAUGCAAGACUAUUUGUCUAGUUUUCAUUGGGUGCUGAGUGAAGAGCCUCAACUCCUCGUAUUCCCAUGGUACUCAGAUGUCCGCGG